AUUGAACGCUGGCGGCAUGCUUUACACAUGCAAGUCGAACGGUAACAGGUUAAGCUGACGAGUGGCGAACGGGUGAGUAAUGCAUCGGAACGUGCCCGGACGUGGGGGAUGACGCAGCGAAAGCUGCGCUAAUACCGCAGACGAACAUAGGAUGAAAGCGGGGGACCGCAAGGCGUCGCGCGAUCGGAGCGGCCGAUGUCAGAGUAGGUAGUUGGUGGGGUAAAGGCUCAACAAGCCGACGAGCUGUAGCUGGUCUGAGAGGACGACCAGCCACACUGGGACUGAGACACGGCCCAGACUCCUACGGGAGGCAGCAGUGGGGAAUUUUGGACAAUGGGCGAAAGCCUGAUCCAGCAAUGCCGCGUGCAGGAAGAAGGCCUUCGGGUUGUAAACUGCUUUUGUACGGAGCGAAAAGGUCUCCUCUAAUACAGGGGGCUCAUGACGGUACCGUAAGAAUAAGCACCGGCUAACUACGUGCCAGCCGCCGCCGUAA
Molecule: ribosomal RNA, 493 nt
Filed under: uncultured bacterium
Lineage: Bacteria
Description: partial 16S ribosomal RNA
Rfam family: Bacterial small subunit ribosomal RNA
Source: RNAcentral